AUUGAACGCUGGCGGCAGGCCUAACACAUGCAAGUCGAGCGGAUGAAGGGAGCUUGCUCCUGGAUUCUGCGGCGGACGGGCGAGUAAUUCCUAGGAAUCUGCCUGGUAGUGUGGGAUAACGUCCGUAAACGGGCGCUAAUACCGCAUACGUUCUGCUGGAGAAAGGGGGGGAUCUACGGUCCUCACGCUUUCAGAUGAGCCUAGGUCGGAUUAGCUAGUUGGUAGGGUAAAGGCCUACCAAGGCGACGAUCCGUAACUGGUCUGAGAGGAUGAUCAGACACACUGGAACUGAGACACGGUCCAGACUCCUACGGGAGGCAGCAGUAGGGAAUAUUGCGCAAUGGGCGAAAGCCUGACCCAGCAACGCCGCGUGUGUGAAGAAGGUCUUCGGAUUGUAAAGCACUUUUAGUAGGGAAGAAGAGAUGUAAAAUAAUCCCUGGAUGUUUUGACGUUACCAAAAGAAUAAGCACCGGCUAACUUCGUG
Molecule: ribosomal RNA, 484 nt
Filed under: uncultured bacterium
Lineage: Bacteria
Description: partial 16S ribosomal RNA
Rfam family: Bacterial small subunit ribosomal RNA
Source: RNAcentral